This 458-nucleotide ribosomal RNA is filed under the name uncultured bacterium. RNAcentral describes it as "partial 16S ribosomal RNA". It matches the Rfam family "Bacterial small subunit ribosomal RNA", at positions 338 to 795 of the family's 1533-position model. The record is from RNAcentral.
CCUACGGGGGGCAGCAGUGAGGAAUAUUGGUCAAUGGGCGAGAGCCUGAACCAGCCAAGCCGCGUGAGGGAGUACUGCCCUAUGUGUUGUAAACCUCUUUUGUCGGGGAGCAAAAGCCGGUACUGUUCGGCUGUGAGAGUUCCCGAAACAAAAGCAACGGCCAACCCCGUGCCAGCAGCCGCGGUAAUACGGAGGAUGCGAGCCUUUUCCGGAUUUUUGGGGUUUAAAGGGUGCGGUGGCGGAAUGUUAAGUCAGCGGGAAAAUCGUGGGGCUCAACCCCGUCCCGCCGUUGAAACUGGGGGACUAGAGUGGGCGAGAGGUAUGCGGAAUGCGUGGUGUAGCGGUGAAAUGCAUAGAUAUCACGCAGAACCCCGAUUGCGAAGGCAGCAUACCGGUGCACAACUGACGCUGAGGCACGAAAGCGUGGGUAUCGAACAGGAUUAGAUACCCGUGUAGUC